UUCGUCUGUGUGAGGGUCGGCUAGUGUCAAAACAAUCGCGUCGCUUGCUCUUGCGACGCGCUCUGGACCUUCGCGGCCGUAAAAUCCGGCGCUCACCGAAUCGCUCGCUCGGCGGUUUGCGUGUUGCGCCCGGUGGCCCCGUGGUYUUAAGCACAAGCCGCGCCGUUGUCCGUGUUCGUCUCGGGACGUCCGCGACGCCGCCUUGCUCUCGGCGGCGGCCAAAUUUCCUCUCCGUCACCGCUAUGCGGGACCCGGCUCGCUCUCGCUAACGGGCCCGCUUAUAACCAGCUUCAGGGUGACGGGCGGAGGAGAGAAGCUUACGCUGACGCUCGAUCGACGAGUCGGCGCCCGUACGAAAAAAAUUGGAAAAAAAAUAACCGUGCGUUGCGCGUUAUUUUUUUUUUUCCUUUCUUUCCGACCUCAGAUCGGACGAGAUUACCCCCUGAAUUUAAGCAUAGAA
RNAcentral lists this unclassified non-coding RNA (460 nucleotides) under Ampullaceana balthica. RNAcentral's name for it is "sequence contains ITS1, 5.8S rRNA gene, ITS2". Lineage: Eukaryota; Metazoa; Mollusca; Gastropoda; Lymnaeidae. The record is from RNAcentral.